AUAAAGAUAAGCUAUUAAAGCUAUUAGGUUCAUACCCUAAAUAAAGAACUAAUUAUUCUUCUUUAUA
Molecule: transfer RNA, 67 nt
Filed under: Uzeldikra longiprocessa
Lineage: Eukaryota; Metazoa; Arthropoda; Insecta; Hemiptera; Cicadellidae
Description: tRNA-Met
Source: RNAcentral